UCCUCGAUGUCCGGUUCCGGUGUGCCCCU
Molecule: non-coding RNA, 29 nt
Filed under: Rattus norvegicus (Norway rat)
Lineage: Eukaryota; Metazoa; Chordata; Mammalia; Rodentia; Muridae
Source: RNAcentral